This 254-nucleotide long non-coding RNA is filed under the name Populus tremula. RNAcentral describes it as "long non-coding RNA (PTRE_LNC001193)". The record is from RNAcentral. Lineage: Eukaryota; Viridiplantae; Streptophyta; Magnoliopsida; Malpighiales; Salicaceae.
GUUUAUACAGCAGCCCGCCCUCUUGAUGACCUGCAACUGGUAGCUGCAGAAACUGCUUUUAAAAUAAAAUGCGAUUCACCGGAAAAAAAAAGAGAGAGAGAGAGAAAAGGUUUGCUUCCCUUCCAUUGUGCAGUCGGUGGCAGGGAGGACAGUAGAUUAUGGCUUUUUUAAAUAAAUGCCACCAAACAUCCACCAUGUGGUCGGAUACGUAGGUUCUCUUUGGCUAUACAUAUGUUUUUUGCUCCGUUCAUGUU